UUAAGUUCAGAUGCUUGUAAAGCAGGAUUGAUUCAGACUUUCUACUUUUCGUGAAGUCUAACUAAUCUAAGAUUAAUCUCAGUGAGGUCCAACAAUUACACAUUACAAUGUCAAAGUAUAAUAAAAAGUAAGGAUCUAUUUCGAUAUUAUGAUAAGAUUGAUAGAUCGAUCAAUAUCGAUGUAUCAAAAAGAAAGAAAAAGAAGAGAUACGACGGUGGAUUAUACUUUUCUUGCAGUGGAGGAUCAUGACUUGUGUUUUUGUUAAGGGAUAAAGCCACGAGGUUUCAGGUGGCCGACUUCCUUGGCCGCUGCUACUGGUGCGGGAAGAGGCUGCACGGGGAAGACAUCUGCAUGUACAGAGGGGAGACGGCAUUUUGCAGCGCGGAAGAGCCGGAACCGGCUGAUCGUCAGCGACGAGUACCGGGUGAUAUCGAGCUCUCCAUGCUCCGGCGGAGGAGCAACCCGAGGUUUCUAGGCAUGAUGAUAGUAGGUAGUAUCAGAGCACUGUAAUCUACAGCUGUUUGAGUUCAGGAAAGAUUUUCCUGUUGACUCAAGAAAGCCAUCAGUUUUGCAUCAUGAAGAACCAAAAGAUGCACUGAGGUCUUCACAUGUUCUUCAUGAUGAUUAGUAAGAAAAAGAUUGGCCAAAACA
Long non-coding RNA from Musa acuminata AAA Group (dessert banana), 651 nucleotides. RefSeq lists it as uncharacterized. The record is from RefSeq and is a predicted model, not a curated record. NCBI's taxonomy places the organism in Eukaryota, Viridiplantae, Streptophyta, Magnoliopsida, Zingiberales, Musaceae. The transcript has 3 exons.